AAUCAACGCUGGCGGCGUGCCUCAGACAUGCAAGUCGAACGCUGCUGUUCGCCUUCGGGUGGACAGCGGAGUGGCGCACGGGUGAGUAACACGUAGGUAAUCUACCUUUGGGUGGGGAAUAACAGCCGGAAACGGCUGCUAAUACCGCAUAAUGCAGCGGCAUCACAUGAUGACAGUUGUUAAAGCGGGGGAUCGUAAGACCUCGCGCCUGAAGAGGAGCCUGCGGCAGAUUAGGUAGUUGGUGAGGUAAUGGCUCACCAAGCCUGCGAUCUGUAACCGGCCUGAGAGGGCGGUCGGUCACACUGACACUGACAUACGGGUCAGACUCCUACGGGAGGCAGCA
Molecule: ribosomal RNA, 343 nt
Filed under: uncultured bacterium
Lineage: Bacteria
Description: bacterial SSU rRNA
Rfam family: Bacterial small subunit ribosomal RNA
Source: RNAcentral